Molecule: ribosomal RNA, 1787 nt
Filed under: Bacteroides fragilis
Lineage: Bacteria; Pseudomonadati; Bacteroidota; Bacteroidia; Bacteroidales; Bacteroidaceae
Description: partial 23S ribosomal RNA
Rfam family: Bacterial large subunit ribosomal RNA
Source: RNAcentral
CAGCCGGGACCAUCCGGUAAGGCUAAAUACUCCCGAGAGACCGAUAGCGAACCAGUACUGUGAAGGAAAGGUGAAAAGCACUUCGAAUAGAAGAGUGAAAUAGUCCCUGAAACCAUGCGCCUACAAGCGGUCGGAGCAGCUUAAGUUGUGACGGCGUGCCUUUUGCAUAAUGAACCUACGAGUUACUUUUUCCGGCAAGGUUAAGCAUCUUGAGAUGUGGAUCCGAAGCGAAAGCGAGUCUGAACAGGGCGGAUAGUCGGAAGGAGUAGACGCGAAACCAAGUGAUCUACCCUUGGGCAGGUUGAAGGUUAGGUAACACUAACUGGAGGACCGAACCGAUAAGCGUUGAAAAGCUUCCGGAUGACCUGAGGGUGGGGGUGAAAGGCUAAUCAAACUUGGAGAUAGCUCGUACUCCCCGAAAUGCAUUUAGGUGCAGCCUUGAGAGUUACUAAUGUGAGGUAGAGCGACUGAUAAGAUGCGAGGGCUUCACCGCCUAUCAAGUCUUGAUAAACUCCGAAUGCGCAUUAGUUCUAUCUCAGGAGUGAGGGCAUGGGUGCUAAGGUCCAUGUCCUAAAGGAGAAGAAUCCAGACCAUCAGCUAAGGUCCCCAAAUAAACACUAAGUUGAACUAACGAAGUCAGAUUGCUAAGACAGCUAGGAUGUUGGCUUGGAAGCAGCCAUUCAUUUAAAGAGUGCGUAACAGCUCACUAGUCGAGGAGUUUGGCGUGGAUAAUAAUCGGGCAUAAGUGUUUUACCGAAGCUAUGGGAUACGUAAGUAUCGGUAGGGGAGCAUUCCACUCAGCGUUGAAGGCGAAGCGUGAGCUUUACUGGAGCGUGUGGAAAAGCAAAUGUAGGUAUAAGUAACGAUAAAGGGGGUGAGAAACCCCCUCGCCGCAAGACUAAGGUUUCCUGAUCAACGCUAAUCGGAUCAGGGUUAGUCGGGUCCUAAGGCUCAGCCGAACGGUGAGGCCGAUGGCAGAACAGGUUAAUAUUCCUGUACUACCUGUAGGAGUGAUGUGGAGACGGAGGAGUGACAACGCCGCGGACUGACGGAAUAGUCCGUUAAAGGGUGUAGAUGUUGAUUAUCCCAGGCAAAUCCGGGAUAAGAGUCGAACCUGACAGUAUACCAAUUUCCUCGGAAAACGGUAAUAGUGCGUGUAAACAUACUCCCAAGAAAAUCCGCUAAACUUAAUCUUACAGGUACCCGUACCGUAAACGGACACACGUAGUCGGGUUGAAUAUACUCAGGCGCUUGAGUGAAUCACGGUUAAGGAACUAGGCAAAUUGACCCUGUAACUUCGGGAUAAAGGGUCCCUACCCGGUGACGGGAGGGCGCAGAGAAUAGGUCCAGGCAACUGUUUAACAAAAACACAGGGCUGUGCAAAAUUGAAAGAUCACGUAUACAGCCUGACACCUGCCCGGUGCUGGAAGGUUAAGAGGAGAUGUCAUCGCAAGAGAAGCAUUGAAUUGAAGCCCCAGUAAACGGCGGCCGUAACUAUAACGGUCCUAAGGUAGCGAAAUUCCUUGUCGGGUAAGUUCCGACCUGCACGAAUGGUGUAAUGAUCUGGACACUGUCUCAACCGUGAGCUCAGUGAAAUUGUAGUAUCGGUGAAGAUGCCGAUUACCCGCGAUGGGACGAAAAGACCCCGUGAACCUUUACUAUAGCUUAACAUUGAAUUUGGGUAAUUGAUGUGUAGGAUAGGCCGGAGACUUUGAAGCAGGCACGCCAGUGUUUGUGGAGUCGCUGUUGAAAUACGGCCCUUUGGUUAUUUGAGUUCUAACUCGCUG